CCGAAUUCGUCGACAACCUGGUUGAUCCUGCCAGUAGUCAUAUGCUUGUCUCAAGGAUUAAGCCAUGCAUGUGUAAGAUCGGCAUAGGCAUUUGGGGAAGUGAGUUUCGGCUCAUGACCUCUUGUUCAUUGUUAAUCUGUGAAAGGCUCAUUAAACAAGUUAUGAAUUUAGCCACCUGGAACAACCCUUCGGGGAUUGGAAUAACACUGUCAACUGCAGCGAUAAUGCCUACGAUUACUGUUGAAUUAAGUAGACAGUAGACACUAGAGUUUGGGUGAGUCCGCUCUAUUGUUAGCUGGGAUGGCCUGGAGAUUCGUCAAAGGGCUUGAACAGUUGUCGACCAUUAGAUUUCCUAUUUGUUUCGGCAAGUGGGAUGCAGCAUGAAUGACUUAGUGUCCUAAUAAGACCUAUGGCUUUCUUGUUGACUAGUGGCCAGGAAGAUAUGUUUCUAAUCUAUCAGCUCCGUAGUUUUGGUAAAGGCGAAACAUGGCUAUCACGGAUACGGGGGAUUGGUGUCCAACUCCGGAGAGAGAGCCUGAGAAACGGCUAUCACAUCUAAGGACGGCAGCAGGCGCGUAAAUUACCCAAUCCUAAUUCAGGGAGGUAGUGACAAGACAUAGCGACUUUACACCAAAUGGUGGAAAGGUACCACUUUGUGGUUUGAAAUGGAUGGAGAUUAAACCUCUCCAUGAGUAGCAAUUAGAGGACAAGUCUGGUGCCAGCACCCGCGGUAAUUCCAGCUCUAAAAGUGUAUAUUAAUACUGUUGUAGUUAAAACGCCCGUAGUAUACCAAAGGGCUAUGACUGUUGAUCUGGCCAGUUCUGUCCAUCGUGGUCGGUCACGUAUUGUGAUUGAUUGGUUGGGCAAGGACUGGUCCUUCGGUCUCUAAAUAAGAGCGAACGGAUUCCAAGUAGCUCUUAUCAAAGGGAUAGGUCAAUAGUUGUGGCUCGCUCCCUGCCAGUCUUCGGAUUGGUAGGGCCUAUUGGCACAACCGUAAACAAAUCAGAGUGCUCCAGGCAGGCAAUGUUUGGGGGUAACCCCGUUUGCUUGAAUGAUUUAGCAUGGAAUUGUCACGAAGCCGAACCGAAACCUCGAGGGYUCGCCUGAGAGGUGGAAGUCCCGGCGCUCGUAAUGAGACACAGGUAGAGGAUCCAAGUACUAUGGCGCGAGAGGUGAAAUUCAGUGACCGCCAUAUGACUGUCUAAUGCGAAAGCAGUUGUGAUCCAGAACGUGUCUGUCAAUCAGGGACGAAAGUUAAGGGAUCGAAGAUGAUUAGAYACCGUCGUAGUCUUAACCGUAAACGAUACCAACACGAGAUUGGUAGCGAAACCAUUAUUAGAUCCUGUCAGAAUCCAAGGGAAACCGUUAAGUCUUUGGGUUCUGGGGGGAGUAUGGUCGCAAGGCUGAAACUUAAAGGAAUUGACGGAAAGGCACCACCAGGAGUGGAGUAUGCGGCUUAAUUCGACUCAACGCGGGGAAACUCACCAAGUUAGGAUGUGAAUAUGAUUGACAGAUUAAGGUUCUUUCUUGAUUUUACAGAAGGUGGUGCAUGGUCGUUCUUAGUUCGUGGAGUGAUUCGUCUUGUUAAUUCAGUUAACGAGCGAGACCUUAACUUACUAAUUAAGGUACAGGAGCUUUCUUCGGAUUGCUCAUCGUUUCAUAGGAAGGGUGUAUGCCCUUCCGGGAAACCUGUACAUAUCACUGGUUCGCCAGUGAUUACUUCUUAGAGGUACAGCACCCGCUCCAUAGGGUGAGGAAGUUUAAGGCAAUAACAGAUCUGUGAUGCCCUUAGAUAUCUUGGGCUGCACGCGUACUACAAUAUUAAUAGCAACAAGUAACGUAAAGUUCAUCUUUCGGGAUGACAACCCUGGUCCGAAAGGAUUGGGAAAUCUUAUCAAAGAUUAAUGUGACAGGGAUCGAGGUUUGUAAAUCCUCGUGAACGAGGAAUUCCUAGUAAGCAUGAUUCAUCAUGUCGUAUUGGCUUCGUCCCUGCCUUUUGUACACACCGCCCGUCGCUCGUACCGACUGAAUAGAGGUAUGAAUUUGAUGGACUAGCAGUAGUCUACUACAACGCGAGAAAAUCAACUGAAUUUCUCUAUUUGUAGGAACGAGAAGUCGUAACAAGGUCUUCGUAGGUGAACCUGCAGAAGGAUCAAGCUUGGAUCCCGGG
RNAcentral lists this ribosomal RNA (2170 nucleotides) under Singhamoeba horticola. RNAcentral's name for it is "SSU rRNA". It matches the Rfam family "Eukaryotic small subunit ribosomal RNA". The record is from RNAcentral. Lineage: Eukaryota; Heterolobosea; Eutetramitea; Acrasida; Vahlkampfiidae.